CAGAAGGGGNAUGNCNUNUAGUACGGCGAGUGAAGCGGCAAAAGCUCAAAUUUGAAAUCUGGCACCUUCGGUGUCCGAGUUGUAAUUUGAAGAAGGUAACUUUGGAGUUGGCUCUUGUCUAUGUUCCUUGGAACAGGACGUCACAGAGGGUGAGAAUCCCGUGCGAUGAGAUGCCCAAUUCUAUGUAAAGUGCUUUCGAAGAGUCGAGUUGUUUGGGAAUGCAGCUCUAAGUGGGUGGUAAAUUCCAUCUAAAGCUAAAUAUUGGCGAGAGACCGAUAGCGAACAAGUACAGUGAUGGAAAGAUGAAAAGAACUUUGAAAAGAGAGUGAAAAAGUACGUGAAAUUGUUGAAAGGGAAGGGCUUGAGAUCAGACUUGGUAUUUUGCGAUCCUUUCCUUCUUGGUUGGGUUCCUCGCAGCUUACUGGGCCAGCAUCGGUUUGGAUGGUAGGAUAAUGACUAAGGAAUGUGGCUCUACUUCGGUGGAGUGUUAUAGCCUUGGUUGAAAUUGCCUGUCUAGACCUAGGAGCGCGUCUCUCGACUACUAUGGUGGUCCCCGGAUCUUUUUCUUUCCCCCCGGAUGGACAGACAAACAAA
This 594-nucleotide ribosomal RNA is filed under the name Debaryomyces hansenii. Its description in RNAcentral is "LSU rRNA". It matches the Rfam family "Eukaryotic large subunit ribosomal RNA", at positions 65 to 613 of the family's 3401-position model. Lineage: Eukaryota; Fungi; Ascomycota; Pichiomycetes; Serinales; Debaryomycetaceae. The record is from RNAcentral.